CUUAGUGGCGGACGGGUGAGUAACGCGUGAGUAACCUGCCUUUCAGAGGGGGAUAACAACCGGAAACGGUUGCUAAUACCGCAUAAAAUAUUGAAACCGCAUGGUUUUAAUAUCAAAGGAGCAAUCCGCUGAGAGAUGGACUCGCGUCCAAUUAGCUAGUUGGUGAGGUAAUGGCUCACCAAGGCGACGAUUGGUAGCCGGACUGAGAGGUUGAACGGCCACAUUGGGACUGAGACACGGCCCAGACUCCUACGGGAGGCAGCAGUGGGGAAUAUUGCACAAUGGGGGAAACCCUGAUGCAGCGACGCCGCGUAAGGGAAGAAGGUUUUCGGAUUGUAAACCUCUGUCCUCGGUGAAGAUAAUGACGGUAACCGAGGAGGAAGCCACGGCUAACUACGUGCCAGCAGCCGCGGUAAUACGUAGGUGGCAAGCGUUGUCCGGAAUUACUGGGUGUAAAGGGAGCGUAGGCGGGGAUGCAAGUUGAAUGUUAAAUCUAUGGGCUCAACCCAUAUACGCGUUCAAAACUGCAUUUCUUGAGUGAAGUAGAGGUAGGCGGAAUUCCUAGUGUAGCGGUGAAAUGCGUAAAUAUUAGGAGGAACACCAGUGGCGAAGGCGGCCUACUGGGCUUUAACUGACGCUGAGGCUCGAAAGCGUGGGUAGCAAACAGGAUUAGAUACCCUGGUAGUCCACGCUGUAAACGAUGAUUACUAGGUGUGGGGGGACUGACCCCUUCCGUGCCGCAGUUAACACAAUAAGUAAUCCACCUGGGGAGUACGACCGCAAGGUUGAAA
This 791-nucleotide ribosomal RNA is filed under the name uncultured bacterium. RNAcentral's name for it is "bacterial SSU rRNA". It matches the Rfam family "Bacterial small subunit ribosomal RNA", at positions 91 to 899 of the family's 1533-position model. The record is from RNAcentral.